Pongo abelii (Sumatran orangutan) is the source of this 108-nucleotide small nuclear RNA. Lineage: Eukaryota; Metazoa; Chordata; Mammalia; Primates; Hominidae. The record is from Ensembl.
GUGCUCACUUUUGCAGCACAUACACUAAAAUUGGAACAAUACAGAGAUUAGCACGGCCCCUGUCUGUGCAAGGAUGACAUGCAAAUUCGUGAAGUGUUAACUUUAUGU